CAGUAACAGGUGGAGGGAGGGGCAGCUUGAGUGUUGGGAACUCCAGCUUCUCAGCAAGUUCACUUAGAGCCCGGGAGGAAGCCCAUGCUGAAGACUUUGAACAGGAAUUCCUUCUCUGGUCCCAGGUUGAGAUCAAAGAUUGAAAGGGCUUGAGCCUUCCUGACACCAGAGGCACCUUCCAGCUGCUCCAACUAGCUUAUCAAGGAAGAAGAUCAAGGCACUGCUCUGACUCACACAUCAUCUACAAAGCAGGGAUACGCAAACCCACCCCAAAUGUAACGGAAGUCUUCCACUGGAUCAGCUCUUGGACCAGGAUCCCAGCAUCUGAGAAAGACAAACAAAGGUGGAAAAGACCGAGAUUCAGUGGAAUGGACUGUGCUAAGACUCCAAAUUCUUUUCUGAAAUGGGAACAGCUUAGAUCU
Molecule: non-coding RNA, 422 nt
Organism: Phascolarctos cinereus (koala)
Lineage: Eukaryota; Metazoa; Chordata; Mammalia; Diprotodontia; Phascolarctidae
Source: RefSeq, a predicted model, not a curated record